GGCACCGUGGCCUAAUGGUAAGGCGUUGCUUUCCGGUUAUUCUCUUUCUUUGUAUGGCAAAGAUUGUGGGUUCGAGUCCCAUCGGUGUCG
Non-coding RNA from Viridothelium virens, 90 nucleotides. NCBI's taxonomy places the organism in Eukaryota, Fungi, Ascomycota, Dothideomycetes, Trypetheliales, Trypetheliaceae. The record is from the annotation of a GenBank genome assembly.